UGGUGGGUAGUUUGACUGGGGCGGUCUCCUCCUAAAGAGUAACGGAGGAGCACGAAGGUUGGCUAAUCCUGGUCGGACAUCAGGAGGUUAGUGCAAUGGCAUAAGCCAGCUUGACUGCGAGCGUGACGGCGCGAGCAGGUGCGAAAGCAGGUCAUAGUGAUCCGGUGGUUCUGAAUGGAAGGGCCAUCGCUCAACGGAUAAAAGGUACUCCGGGGAUAACAGGCUGAUACCGCCCAAGAGUUCAUAUCGACGGCGGUGUUUGGCACCUCGAUGUCGGCUCAUCACAUCCUGGGGCUGAAGUAGGUCCCAAGGGUAUGGCUGUUCGCCAUUUAAAGUGGUACGCGAGCUGGGUUUAGAACGUCGUGAGACAGUUCGGUCCCUAUCUGCCGUGGGCGCUGGAGAACUGAGGGGGGCUGCUCCUAGUACGAGAGGACCGGAGUGGACGCAUCACUGGUGUUCGGGUUGUCAUGCCAAUGGCACUGCCCGGUAGCUAAAUGCGGAAGAGAUAAGUGCUGAAAGCAUCUAAGCACGAAACUUGCCCCGAGAUGAGUUCUCCCUGACUCCUUGAGAGUCCUGAAGGAACGUUGAAGACGACGACGUUGAUAGGCCGGGUGUGUAAGCGCAGCGAUGCGUUGAGCUAACCGGUACUAAUG
Molecule: ribosomal RNA, 653 nt
Filed under: Escherichia coli
Lineage: Bacteria; Pseudomonadati; Pseudomonadota; Gammaproteobacteria; Enterobacterales; Enterobacteriaceae
Description: partial 23S ribosomal RNA
Rfam family: Bacterial large subunit ribosomal RNA
Source: RNAcentral